This is a long non-coding RNA of Antechinus flavipes (yellow-footed antechinus), 4041 nucleotides long. RefSeq lists it as uncharacterized. The record is from RefSeq and is a predicted model, not a curated record. The transcript has 2 exons. NCBI's taxonomy places the organism in Eukaryota, Metazoa, Chordata, Mammalia, Dasyuromorphia, Dasyuridae.
UCUGAGAUUUGUCUCUCAUCACUAUGCAGAGCAUUUUGACACUCUUAUAGUAAGAGCAUCUUCACUUUACAUACAAAGCUAUUUUGAUUAACACAAUACACCUCUCACCAAAUUCAGAAGGAAGAGUAUAUUGUCUUUCCCAAAGUAAGCAGUAGAAGAAAAGGCAACCCUGAUUCAUAGCCCAAGCCUGGGCAUUAUAGUCUACCUACUGUCCCUGAAGCCCAGAAAGAAGGGGAAAAAAUAGAUUCCCUUAGUUUCAGUCUUGGACAGCCUCUGCUGUGGGAAAAAAUAGGAAGAAAUAGACUGGGUCCUGCUCUGAGGAGUUUAAAGUCUGAGAAAAAUAGUGCCAAAUCUGGUCUCUUCCCUCUGAAUGAUUACUCCAAAUUAAGAAAAAUAAGAUCCAAUCACUUAGAAAAUAAUUAAUAAACACUAUGGAACAAUAUGUAUACUUCCAACUCUAAAUCCUAUAGGAAUUCAGAAAAAGAAGAAAUCAACUUAUACUGAAGAAGUCAUAGAAGGCUUCUUGGAAGAGGUGAAAACUGAACACAUUUAGCAAAUAUUUACUGAGCACUGCAUCAUUCCUUGCACCUGAAGUACUAGUAAUUUAGUGAUAUUAAAGAAGGAAGGACUUCCAGGUAGGGAAAACAGAAUGAACAAAGAUUUUGGAGAGCUUUCAUUUCUUGCCUCCUCCUCUCUCCCCCUACAAAUAUAUUAUCCUGUCUUAGAAAUGCAGAAGAUUAGAAAAAGAAAGCAUAAAUGAGGGUAACCAAAAUGAUGAGGAACCACAAAUCUUUUAAUAGGAAAUAACUUGAAAGAAUUGGGGAAUGUUUAGAAUGGAAAAGGAAAGAUCUAGGAUAUUGUUCUUGCCACUUCUGUUUCUUCUUUGUUGUUUCCCCCACUCCAUAAUAUAAAUUUCCUAAACAUUAUGAUGGCCCUGGGAAUUUUAUUAUUUCUCUGAGACUCUAUAAAGGAUAUUAACACAGUAGAUGGAACACAAAAACCAAAGAUGUUUAUAUACUUGUAAAUUGAUUGAUAUAUCUUAAUCUUUUGACUCUUUCAAAUAUUAAGACUCCUUUUUAAUGUCAAAAAAUCACUAACACUUCCAUUGAUAUGAUAGUAAUUUUUUUCACAAUGAAUCUUUUGCUUUAAUCAGAUAAAUGUGAAAAUGAUGAUUCUUGGCCCACAUUCACAGAUCCUUUAUAAUAAUUCUAUAUUAGCCCUUCACACAUCUGAAGCCCACAUUUCAGAAACUGAGUCAGAGAUUCUUAGAAAUGGAAGACCCUUUUGUCCUGGAAGAAUCUAAUACAGUUCGACUACCUCCUUGUACAGCUAAAAGACCUGAGGAUCAGAUAAGGAAAGUAAUACGUCAAAAAUCACAGAGUGAAUUUUUAAUAAGAAUUAAGAACAGAAUUUCCUUUCCCUUUUUCCCCUCUCCCUUUCCAAAUUUUAUUCCAGUCCAGAAGGAUCUUUCCUUAUUAUUCUGUCACUUAGUUUACACUGAAAGAAAUUAAACCAAUACUUUCUGUUAUUGUUAUUUAUUUAUUGUAUAUGUAUGUUGAUAUUUAUUGAUUAUGUCCUCUGUGCCUCACUGAAUACUGUCGGAUUUGACCCUGACCUUUUUUCCUAGAUUCAUAAUCUCCUGCAGCCUCCAAAUUUGAAAAUAAUGGGAUAAUGAAAUACAAGUAGGGUUAAGUGGAUAAAUAUUUAACAAGUGACUUUUAUGCAUGAUACAUUUUUAAAUUUAAUCAGCAUUGUUAACAUUUUUCCAUCACUUUCUUAACUCUAGACAAUCAACAAAACAACAAAUCAAGCCCUAAUUUGUAAUAUUUGCAGCAUGUGUUUACAUAUUAGUUUGAGCUGGCUCCAAGACAGUCCUAUAAAUCCAAAAUAUGACCCCCCCAGACCAUUGGCAUGACUUCUCUCAUCUCCCCAAAAGUAAGGCUCAUGUGGGACUGUUCACACAGAACUUCUAAUCACUUCUUUGAGGAUGAAUUGAUGCCCUAAGGAUAGGAGAAUAGUCUGGGAACUGGGGCCAGGUAGCAUCUUUACUCAGGGAAUAGAAGGGUUAAUAAGAUAAAGAAGAGAUGAAAGGGAAGAUAAAUUGAUAAACCUCUUUCUCCAACAGAUAUGAAUCAAGAAGACACAUGCACAGAAAUAGAGAAUGAAGAAUUGGAUGGUCUUUGGACAACCAUCUAUGUCUUCAUCGUCCUCUUCCUUCUCAGCGUUUGUUAUAGUGCCACAGUCACUUUGUUCAAGGUGAAGUGGAUUUUUUCUGCAGUCCUGCAACUGAAGCCUGGAACCUUCCAUGACUAUAAGAAUAUGAUCCAGCAGUCAACCUAGACAGCCUAGAGGAGACCUUGUCCUAGGACUGACUCCACAUGGAGCAAGAGUAUGCAGCAACAUGAAGAUCUCUUCCCAAGUAGACACAUACUUAUAAUUAUUGGGUCACUGAGUGCAAGAUUUCUUUCCCCAUACCUUAAGCCAUAAAGUUUUCCUAACUUCUAAAACAAACAUGAUCCCUAAGCCUAGCCUAAGGAUAAGAAAUGAGGUCCCUUAAUGUAAUCUUUGAGGCAGUCCCCUGCCUUGAGUACAAAAUGAGGUGUGCCUAAACAGGAGUCAGGAGUUAUAAUUCUAGGAGAACUCAUAGUACUGAGUCUGUUUGGGUCAGAGUCUUAUAGUUGGGAGAAAUCCAAGAGACAGAAAUCACUAAGCCUUCCAAGGCAAAAAUGGAACUCUGGAGAUAGGAGUGAUUUGCCCUAAGCUACACAGUAAAUUAGAGGCAGAGUCAGGGAGGCACUUAUCUCAAACUUAUGGGCUAGAAUACUCAACUGAUCUAUGGUCUUGAUGAAAUUUCCUGCACUGACCCCCCAUGACAGAAUCCUAGGCCAUCUCCCUAUGUCUCACUUUCUCAUUUCCUCAGAAACAGUGUCCUCAGGCCAGAAUAGGAACUAUGCAACCCUAUAAAAAGAGGAGUUACAGAAGGAAAUUGUGGAAACAAUCUGUGGUGUGUCACUUCAUGAGGCUCAGUCCUUCUCUAACUGAAUUUCUUGAAGCUUCCUACUGGAUCCCAAUCCAAUUCAAACCCGAGUUUAUAGGUCAAGUCAACCAAUAAUCCAGGACACAGAGAAUAGUCCAGAAAUCAGAUCUCACAUAAUUGUGUGGUACAUAAAAAAGAGCCCUUCAAUAAGAAGAAACAAGUUCAAAUACUCCCUCUGAUUUCUUGCUUUGGGAAAAGUACUUAACUUAUUUGGGCCUCAAAGAAGGUUAGACUAGAUGACUUCUAAGGUGCCUUCUAUAUCAGUAAUCCCAUGAAAUACAAGAAUGCAUCCCAUACCCCAAAUCUUAGAACCCAGCCCAUAGCCUAGAACCCAGCUCAGAGUUAGGACACAGAAUUAAGUCCAUCUGAGAAACCAGAGUUCAGAGACAAAAACCUAGAAACCAAAGACAGAGAGACCAGCUUAGAGCUCAAAGCUCAGAGCCUUUCCCUGUUCCUUCUAUCUACUAUCUUUGUCCCCAAAAUAGUAGUUUUUGUGGCCAUAGCCAUCCAAUUGCAGCACCUGCACAACUUGCUUUAUCUGCUUGUUGCUUCUCAGCAAAUAAGGAUUUGUUAUAGGGACCUCCACAAAUACAAAUAACACCACGGGUUCCCAUUUCAUUGCUCCUGCUCUCCUCCCAACACAGCUUCCUCUGUGAGAGAAUGCCCCUUGAACCCUUUUGUUAAGACAAGAAAAGCAACGUUCCCAGAACUCUGAGAGAUGACUUUCCAAAGUAUCCACUUACUCAUCUCUUUCUGGACAAAGCAAUUUUUGUUUCCAGCUCAAAGCUCAGAGCUUUUCCUAGUCUAUAUUCUAAAACAAAACUGAGGAACCUUUGGGCAAAAUUGAGGUUAAUUAGGGGUAGGGACUAUCAGACUUGGAAAAAGAAAUAUUCCAUCUGUCUUUGUCAUUACAGCUAGAUCAAAAACUUGCAUUUGGGAACUCUUCUUUCAAGGCUAUUAUUGUUUUCCCUUUGUAUUUUAGUAAAAGCUACUUUCUAAAAUCA